AAUUUCUACUAAGUGUAGAUGGAAAUUAGGUGCGCUUGGC
This 40-nucleotide unclassified non-coding RNA is filed under the name Lachnospiraceae bacterium ND2006. RNAcentral describes it as "RNA (25-MER) from Lachnospiraceae bacterium ND2006 (PDB 6NM9, chain G)". The record is from RNAcentral. RNAcentral also lists the same sequence under 1 other name. Lineage: Bacteria; Bacillati; Bacillota; Clostridia; Lachnospirales; Lachnospiraceae.